AACGAACGCUGGCGGCAUGCCUAACACAUGCAAGUCGAACGAGAUCUUCGGGUCUAGUGGCGCACGGGUGCGUAACGCGUGGGAAUCUGCCCUUUGGUUUGGAAUAACAGUUGGAAACGACUGCUAAUACCGGAUGAUGACGCAAGUCCAAAGAUUUAUCGCCAGAGGAUGAGCCCGCGUAGGAUUAGCUAGUUGGUGUGGUAAAGGCGCACCAAGGCGACGAUCCUUAGCUGGUCUGAGAGGAUGAUCAGCCACACUGGGACUGAGACACGGCCCAGACUCCUACGGGAGGCAGCAGUGGGGAAUAUUGGACAAUGGGCGAAAGCCUGAUCCAGCAAUGCCGCGUGAGUGAUGAAGGCCUUAGGGUUGUAAAGCUCUCUUACCCGGGAUGAUAAUGACAGUACCGGGAGAAUAAGCUCCGGCUAACUCCGUGCCAGCCGCCGCGGUAA
This 449-nucleotide ribosomal RNA is filed under the name uncultured bacterium. Its description in RNAcentral is "partial 16S ribosomal RNA". It matches the Rfam family "Bacterial small subunit ribosomal RNA", at positions 29 to 523 of the family's 1533-position model. The record is from RNAcentral.